Molecule: non-coding RNA, 86 nt
Organism: Pelobates cultripes (western spadefoot toad)
Lineage: Eukaryota; Metazoa; Chordata; Amphibia; Anura; Pelobatidae
Source: the annotation of a GenBank genome assembly
CUGCCCACGGUUGCAGGGGUCAUAGCUGCGGCCGGGCCCCCUGGAGUGAGGGGCCUGGUCGCAGCUGCGACCUCUGCAACUGUGGU